AUGUUUUGUACAUUUUAUAUAUUAUUAUUUAUAUCUUCUCAUAUUCCUAGAUUAAGUUUUUUUUUUAUAAUAAUUAAUUUAUUGUUUAAUAUGUGGUACGAAAUUCGUUAAAAGAAUGUUUUUUUUUUUAAAUCAAAUAAGAUUAUUUCUUGUUAAUUUUUAAUUCACGUAAGGUUUUAUUGUUGUCAAAGAAGCUCAAAGUUUAGUUAUUUUAAUUCAUGUGUGAAUUUGCUAGUAAAUAGUACCAUAAUGUUGAUUGUGAUACAGGUAGAAAUAAAUUAAGACAACAACCGCAGCUUCCUUUACAGCGGUCUAAUAGUUAUUGUUGUUAAUGUCGACCAAGUCUUGUUGACAAUGAAUAAGAGUUGUUGAUUGCUGUAAAGAUAGAAAUGGUUGUAAUGGGGAAUUAUAGGCUUACAAUAUUUUUCAUGGUGGUAUUGGACUAGAAUACAAAAACACACAGCCUUGAACUGUUAACGAGAAUGUACGAAAAAGUAUGUCAUAUGGUAAAACUGUUAAAGUGAAUGUAAACCUUGAAUUC
Molecule: long non-coding RNA, 541 nt
Filed under: Medicago truncatula (barrel medic)
Lineage: Eukaryota; Viridiplantae; Streptophyta; Magnoliopsida; Fabales; Fabaceae
Description: lncRNA gene33985
Source: RNAcentral